GUCCUGGUUUGUGGCCAAAAAAAAAAACAGAAGUCAGCUAUGGUUGUAAUCCUGGACUUGUCUGUGGCACAAAGAGUUAAUGGGACAGUGGUCAGGGUGAGGAACAUUUUUUCUCAGGGCUGGAGAAGCCCAUAUGGCUCAAGAAAAGAUGUUGCAACAUUUAGUAUGGGGCAGCCCUGUCUGGGCGCUGGGGGCUGCCACUCAAAGAGUUAAGCUAGUCUUAUGCCUGGGAAGCCCUCAGGGAAGGAGUGGAGCCUGCAAGGACAGGGACCUCUAUGCCCCAGAACAGUGAGGUGCAGGAGGGGUGAGGUGGGAGGGGGCGAGCUGAAAAGUGUGGCCAAGGAAGCAGAGUGUAGGCCCAACUUUUUUUGCCUUGUUUGACCAGCCUUGGCACUGCCCUCCGACUCUCCAGGGGAAAAGCUGCAGUUCUGCUCUUGCAACACAAGGAGCAGACUGGAGAAUUUAGAUCUGCGUCACAGAGCUCAGAGAGAGAGAGAGAGAGAGAGAGAGAGAGAGAGUGAGCAAGCUCCGUCGAUAGGUCUGCUAGCAACAGCCGUGCUGCAGCAGAGAGAGAGAGAGAAAUCAAGAAACAAGUCAUAGCAACACCGGCACCAGGUUCUGCCAGCUCACUUGCUGAGCGUUCAGAGAUCUGUCGGGGCCAGAGGCCUCUGGGUAGCCUAGGCUAGGAGAUGACACGCAAGGUGGCACGGGCGGUUCCCGCGGGGAGGAGGUGGGGUGGUGGGGGGGGGCAGGGGUGGGAGCAAGAGGUUGCGGGGCAACAGUGGAAGGUUUGACGGGACCAAAUUCUGGAACAUUCGGGACUGCGGCACCUUACGGCGGGACCGAGAUUUGGGUCUGCGCAGGCGACGAUGGGUGGUCCGACGGGCUUCAGGACUUGAUGGCGUAACCCCCUUCUUCCCCCACGUAUGUAUUUACUGGGAUCAGGGACGCUGUCUCUGUGUAUGUGGGUGCUCUGUCUUUCUCACCUUCUUUCUCGAUUUUGGCUAUUUAUUUCUCUGAGGGAGGGUUUUUUCCCACUUUAAUUUCUUUCCCCUAGUGUCAGCUGCUCAAGCCUGACCGGGGUAGAGAAGAGUGAACCAUCCCCUGCUUCCCACCUGACCUCCCAGCCUUUACCCUAUUUCCUUCUAGUGGACAGAUGACUGGUUCUCCAGGUUGUUUGGGUGUCAGCGUCCAUCUGUCUGUCCGUGCAGGUCUUACGUGGAAGGUAGGGGAGUGAGAAGUGCCGAAAAGACAGAGGGACAGUUUUUUCCCAGGGGUUGCCUUAUUGAAAGGUCUGGCCCUGGCAAUCUGAGGCUUGUGGGGAGCCGAGUGGCCAGGGUGGGGUGUGGGCUGGGAGAAGUGGGGUAAAGCUGGUAGGUUUGUCACUGCGUAGUUGGGAAAAGUGGGGAAUGGUGACGCAGUCACUGUUGCAUCUGGUUAGGAGCUCUUGGGGGACAGGUAGUGAGGCUCCUGGGGCCUCUGCGGCCAGCUGAGAGGGGUUAAGGAUGAGCUGAGAAGGGAAGCUAGCAUUUAGAGAUUAAAUGUCAUCCUUUUGGCGUUGGAAAGUUGUUUACCUUGCGCUCUCUGUGUCUCCAUGUUGGCUCCCUUCCAGUUCACAUGUGAUGGCCUUCCCUGUACUGCUGCAUCAUUAACUAAGUGACUGAGCUGGCCUUCCAUUGGCCAGGGGAGGGCUCUCCCUCCAGACACUUCCUCUGAUUGGUGGCUGGGCCAAUGGCAGGUGAAAAGCUUUUUGUGAUUGGCUCAGGGCAGGGUAUCAACUCUGAAUUUGCAUUUCACUUGCUUAAAGGGGAGGGGGGAGAAGCCCAGCAGCUUUCUAAAAUCUCUUUAGGGGUGUGCGUAGGCUCCUGUGUCUAUGCCUGCUUUUGACUGCCCAGUUGAAGCCUCUUCCUAUGCCUUUUAAAAUUUCAUGCACUAUAAGGAAGAAGAGCUCAGGGCUCUCAAAACUUUAUUUAGAGGGAAGAAUGCUAGGGAGAUGGGUGUGCAGAGGGUUGACCAAAUUGGAAGAAAAUAUUUAUCCUGUAGUUUGGUGUUGAAAAAGGAAAUUUUCCAAUCAGCCACACCUCAGUGUUGCGGCAAAAUAAUUCUCGGCUCCCCUGGAAACGCAUGGGCAAGGUAGGGCAGAGCUGCUGCUGCUGAUAUUACCACCACCCUGGGCUUCCUGCUGACUCUGGGCUACUCCCUGGGGACAAGAGAUUUGCAUUGACGUCCGGGGCUGUCCAGAGGCCCAUAGGAGCCAGUUGUGAGCUGAGCCCAGUAUGGGAAAGAUCUACCUUCUGGAAGCUACUACUACUUGGUGCUUGGAAAGGUGAGGAUGGGGGACUGACCCCAGGAAAUUGCUUGGAAACUGCGUAUUUGGUGGGAUUUCCAGAAAAGUCAGUGGGAGAUGGGUGGUUUGGAUGCCCCGGGCUAGAAAGGUUUGUCAGUGUAGGGAAUGAGGAGAGUCAGAGUAAAACUAGGGCAGCAGGCUGUUCACCUUUGGUUGGGGGAGGGAGGCCUCGAAAAAUCAGGGUCCCUGCUCUCUAACCUGUCCUUGUUGCAGGUCUCAUGUUUGUGGGGAGGGGGUUUACCAAGCGCUGCGCCAUGCGCAGUGGCCCCCACCCAUGACUGCGCAUCUGGGAGCGCAGUGCGCCCUGGGUCUCUGGCCUAGGACGAGCACCGCCCUUCUUAUUACAUAACUUGAGGGCAUGGCACGCGCCUUCUCGGCCCUUCCUUGCAACCCUACCUUCUCACUCCCCAGGGCCCACAAAGCUGGGGAGGGUCUGACUGGGGAGCGGUGGAGGAUUGCAAUCCCUGGGAGGGCUAACUCAUGUCCAGUUAGUGUGAGGAGCUAAGUUUGAGGACAGAAGUGGUUUUCUAGCCCCAUCUUGGUGAAGGGGCUGCAGAACAUCCUCUUCUGAGUACCCCAUAUACCACCUCUGGGCCCUAGGGCCUCUCUGGUGGAGAGGGUGGCACCCUUCUUUCACUCAUGUCCCAUCUGAUUUUUGAGAGGAUGUUUCUGAAGGAAAAGAUGUGAUGAUUAUGGGAGGGCUUGGUUGGGAGGCAGUUUUGACAGUUUACGCCCCUUGUCACUGGCUUCCCCUCCUUUUCCUGAGUGCGUUUAUCAUCUUUCUGGACUCCUCUGAUGAGCUGCCAUUUUGGAGCCAUUUCUGCUGGUCUCCGACAUGGUGGCGUUGGUUUUUCUGUCCUGCUGUGCCAGUUCCGCAGAGUGGGCGGGGGGCGGGGGCUAUGACGGAGGAGGGGAAGGGGGGGCAAAAGCACAGCAGAGGCGGGCGCAGUGGUGGCUGCCGCAGUGAAGGUGGCUCCAGGGGCAGAGCCGCCCAGUCCCACUCUUGGACACAGUCCUGGGUGGGGAUUCAGGUGGAAGGUGUCUGGGUAGGGGCUCACUAUUUGGGCCCGGCUUUGCCAGAAUGUGGGUUUCCCACGUCCACAUCAGCCUGAGGCUUUGAGUAGUUAGGAAAAGCUGAGUGUCUGGGUGAGAGUGGAGGCAGAGGCUCGGCAGCUCAUCUCAGACGUGUCAGACCCGUGGUUUGUGUUCCCCAAAUAGGCUCUGUCUCCAGCAGCCUCCCCGUGGGGACAGGGAAGUAAGGUCCAUGGCAGCAUUGAGGAUCUGUUCAGAUGGUCCUGCCUGCUUACUGUUUUUCUUCUCUGUUUCUCCUCCAUGCCUCCUGCCAGUGCCAUGGUUCCAGCUGUAGUCCUCUUGUGAGGCUCCUGCCCAUUCCCCCUCUCUCCAGGCCCUCCUGCGUGCAGCGGCCAUCUUGUCUUUCUUGCUCAGAAAGUUAAAAUGGUUUCUCAUCAUUCCCAGAGUAAAAUUCCUUUCCUUUAGCGUGAUGUUCAAUGCUAUCCGUAACUGGCCUUAGCUUUCCUGUACAGUCUUACCUCUCUCAGUUUCUCUUGGUGGACCACAGUUUCCAACAAAACCAAGCAACUUCCUUUUUCUUGCUUUUCCUAUGUGUUUUCACCAAUGAUGUUUUCCACGCCUCCUCUCCUCUUCGUCCACCUGUGGCAGUCUCACUUUCUCCAUGGACCUCUCCUGAUUGCCUUUGCAAGCAGCAGUUCUCAUAACCACCCCCGCCCAUUCGGCCGAACUUGCACACGGUCUGUCCCUUUUUAUGGUAUUCUUGUUUUGUUAUGAUUCUUUGUGUAUAAGUCUUAUGUCACCUAUUAGAUUAGGAGCUCUAGGAGGGAGGCUAGAGAAAGGAGAGGGAAAACAAAUACCUAUUUGGUACCUUCUGUUUGACAGAUACCAUGUUAGACACUUUUCCUGCAGUUAUUUCAUUUAUUCCUUUCCAUAGCCCUGUGCGGAGCAUCCCUGGUCUUCCAACGUCUUUACAUUUUUCUUCCCCGAACUCUUUACAAGAUGCCUGUUAUGAAGUAGAUCCCCAAAAUUUGUCUAUUUAAGGAAUUUUGUAAGUCCCUAAUGCUCUGUGGGAGUUUGGGUGGUCAAUCUUGUGUCCAUGGUCUAGGUCACCUAGCUGUUCCUUGACACUGUCAUUAACUUUCUCCUCUUCCUUUGUGGUCAGGUUCACUCAAGAUGAUGGGGUUUUCUGUUUGUUUGUUUUUUGUUUUUUUGUAGCUGAAAUUGAUGGGUUAACUGACUCAGUUUUCCUGGUUGCCUUCCUCCUACAAGAAGGUGGAGUGGGGUACAGCAACUUCAAAGCCAGAAUAAGCUCCAGAAUUAGAGAGCAGGGAGCAGAGACACUGGACUUGGAUAGACCUAGGUUUUCAUUGUGAUCCUGCCUCUUCUUAGCUGGGUCACUUUAGACAGGUCAUAUGAUUUCUCUAAGUUUUCGUGUCCUCGGUCAGUGAGUUGGAGCCAGUACAAUUGUUAUACAGAAAUGCCUAAUAUAUGGGCAGCAAAUAGGUUCCCAUCCCUGCCUAGUGGUUUAUCAGGGACUUCAAAGGGGAGUGUAGGGGGGCUAGACAAGAAAUGGGGGAGAUGGGAGCUCCUGUGCCCUAAGUGGUGUCACAGAAAGGGCAGGGAGGAGGUAACUUAAGCAUUACGCACCUCCACCCUGCAAGGCGGUGCUGUCUCCCACCUGGCGUAAAUACCCCUUUACUUCUGCAUCGGGAACAUGCUGUGGGCACAGAGUUGUGGGGGUUGGUGUCGGCAGAGGGAGGGUCAGUGAGCCUUCCUGGGAGUCUUCUCGUGGCAGGUUAGUUUCCCUUCUUUCCGAAUCUCAGCAGUGGCUGCCUGCUUCCUGAUGCUGCUGAGUCCCGUGGGAGGGGAGUUGGGCACCCUGAAGCCCCUCGUCACCAAUUCGGGGGCCGCGGAGCAGAGUGACGACAGCCAGUGAGUCGUCAGUCGACGGCAAUGGGGACCCUGGUGACGGCUGCUUUGUUGUUUUUUUUCCUCUUUGGAAGAUGACUCAGUGUAUCGGGAGCCGGGAGAUGGAGCUCUCAGCAGAGUGGCCAGGAUGUUCUGUCAACAUGAAAGCUGCAAAAACAGCUUGGGGCUCUGGGCUGAUCCUUAGCCUGGGGUCAUUUUCAGGGAGGACUGGACAGCGAAGGCACCCGCUGCCCGGGCAGCAGGAUGGGGCGACACCAGGUAACUCAGCAGGGCUCUGUGAACUCUUGCAUUUAGAGUCUGAAAAGAAAAUAACAGCUGUGUGUGUUGUUAGAUCUGAGUUUGGCAAAUAGGGUCAUUUUUUGAGUUCUUCCACUUAGUCCCCGAAGACAGACGUCUCUCAAAGCCCUUUGGGAUUUCUUCUGUGGUUGUUUGUGACAGUCUUGGUGGUCACUGCCUCGAAUGAAGGGCGAUUCGCCUCUUAGGGUGGGGGCUGGCCAGAACGACCUCAGCGAACGCGGGCGCGCCUGGACCCCGGGAGAAGUGGCCGUGGUGGGGCUGUGGCGUCUUCAGCGUCCUCUGCCGCGCGGCCCUUCAAGAUGGCGGAACCGCAUCACCGUCAAUGCGCCAAAGGCCGGCUCUUGGGCAGCCUGCGUCAGCCUCCCCUUUCCUUAUUGACCCAAAUCAGAGCUUCUCUUCUCCCCUUCAUCUUCCUCAUUGUCCUCUUAGGUGAAACAGUGGGCCUUGAGUACUUGACCCUUUUAAUUUUGUUGUCGUCAUCAUGGCGGCUGCGGGUUCCAGACUUUUCUCGAUACCGCAGCCAUGCGCCAUAGGCGCGUGAUCCCCCCGCCCCGCCCAGCCCCGCCCUGCCCCGCCCUUUUGCGACCGAGAAAGAAGAUGCGCUUCCACCGCCGAGGAAUCCCGGCCAAACCGUCCUUCCCUUUCUUUACCUCCUCAGCCAGAGUGUGGGGCAGAGGGGCAGCCAGUCGCGUAUAGGGAUGAGGGACAACCUGGCCGAAGCCCCCUCCCUCCUUUCGCCGGGUACUAUUUUUCAGUCUCAUGCUUUCCCGCUGAUGAUGCUAGCAGUGACAUUUGUCACUGAGCACCUCCUCUUCUCUCCAAGGACCUCCCAGGGUGACUCAUUUGGGAUCUCUGGUAGGAGUGGCUCCUGGGCCUUGGGAGCCAGAGCAGGACAGGGAGAUGUGACCAGGUCACAUGAGAGUUUAAGCAGGACAGGGGAUGGGAGCCAGUCGUCCCCACCCAGAGCGCAAAGGCAGAGACGGCUCCUUCGUGUCAUGUUUUGCACCCGAGUAGAGAGCAGCUUGACCUAAAAAGAUUGUAUGUAUUUGGACAUUGGAACCUUUCGUGUCUCAUUUUUUUUUUUUUUUUUUUUUGUCCGAAGCUGUGUAUAUGACAAGAGCCUGGAUUUUGGGCUUCAGGCAGCUCUGUGGUCUCUCAGGAUCGUUUUCUGAAAGAGGUGGUAGACAGGCCCUCCUUCAUCAGACCCUGUACCCUCUAUUACUGCCCUUUCUCCAGGACAUAGGACCCAUGUCAUUUUGCCCAGCAUUGUCUUGUUUCUGUCAUUGGGUGGUGGACAACACCUGAGGGUCAUCAUCCCACAGCCACGUACUAACCUUAGAUGGGACCCUGCCUGGGAUCUGCUCAAUUCAUUGCAUGGUUGGCUCUGUGAGCUGAGCCCACCUGUCUUCCUUUCUCUCUUCUUCCUCACAGAGGACUCAGGAGAAUGCAGCUUGCUUUGUGAGUGGGUGACAACCUCUUGGCGACUCAGGCUCAGCUGAGGAUGGUGCCAGUGUGCCGGAGACAGCCGUCAUACUGCCGGAUAGAGUGGCUCACUUGCAUGUAUUUGGAACAAAAAAAGGAGAUGCCUGGCAGCCCCACACUCUGCAGUGCUGUUGAGCCACCAAUUUUUAUGAUUUUGUGACCACAAGUGUGUUGAGUGUUGUGACAUGACCCCAGUCUUGUCAGUGAAUCAUCACCAAGUUGCUUAUUGGAAACCAGAUGCAGCAAGCAAAUAGGAUUUAACCACUCCACUACCUGCCUCCCAGGUAAGUCCAGCAUGGGCUGCUCCCUCUAGCCUUCCCCCAGCCUCAUUCCUUCCCAUGAACACCAUUUUUCUUAUUCCGUGGGGGAACCUCAGACAACUCCAUUCAGAAUCUCCCAAACAAUUGUUCUCUUUUUUGCAUUCUCCUGCUUCUGGCUUUUCUGUGAAUGGGGUUAGUAAUGAGCACAGGACUGGGGGCAGGAUGGGCAGCUGAAGUGGUCGGGCUGUGCGGAUGUGUGGGAGAUGGCUGGGAGCAUUGCUAGGUGUGGCAGUUGGCAGAGCAUUUGGGCCUCCCACAGUAAGUGAAUAGAAGCUCUCCUUAGCUCCAGCAUCCAGCAGGAGGUUCUGGAUUUAACCCCUCGGUAAUCCUGGGAGCCUUCCUGGGGCCUGGAGAUUCUCUUCCCUGUGUAGUCUCAGUGGAUGGCCUGUCUCACUCCAGAUACAUUUUGCCUUGAUCGGGCUUAGUCUAGGUUGGUGGUCUGGAGUUUGAACUGGGCUAAGCAGUGAGCUUUAGGUCUCUUUCCCUACUUUGGGGGCUUCUUUCAAUGAGCCACUUUCUGCCUCUAGGACUUCAUUACCUUUGCCUUAAAAAACAAAAUCCCUGAUCCAGUAAGCCAUUGCAAAGCAUUUCUAGACAGUUGACAAAUGCUUUUUGUCUGCCUCACUUGUUGCUGGUCACAAUAAUAGCAAUGGUGAUUAAAAAUGAAAAACGAUGAUGGCCUGCAGAAUGGGGGAGGUCAGUUGCAUCAUUGAUACAAUUCACAAAGCAGACUCCUGGUGCCUGCCCAUCACCAGGAAGUCUCUCUCCUACUGAGUAGAUGACUACAGUGUUCUCGGCCAGUAGAGCCAGCUGGAACUAGCCAACAGCAGAUUGGUCUGAGCUCUAAAGAGAAAAAGAAUGAUGUUGGGUAAUUUUCGGAGGCACCUAUGGGAUCCUACCUCUGGCCACACAGUGGUCACCUCUCUCUGCUCAUAUGUCACAGUCGGGGUGGAGGUUUCUCUUCCCCAUGCUACUCCCGUCGCUAUCCAGGGAAGACUGGCCAAUUCUGCUUCCUGUUAUUUUUAUCUUCUUCUCUAUCCAUUUGAGAUGAGUCUCUAGGUUGGCUGUGAGCAGCCUGAGGGAUCCAGGGCUAUUUGGAAGAGUCUGAUGUCUCUUCCUUUAAGGGCUCUGACAGGUCUCAGCCCUCCAGCAGUACUGCAGUGAGGGAUGGCAGUGGGUGUUAGAAUGGAGAGAUAUCAACUUGGGUGCAGCUGGGGAGACUUAAGAGGAGUGAGCCAAGGCCCUCAAGGAGUAUUGGCUAGAGUCUGGCCAGUGCUGGCUGUAGGGCCGGAGCCAUAUGUAGUUGCUGGCUGUGCUUGGGAGUCUCAGCCCUCACAUGUGCAGUGCGUCCCUGGGCAUAGCUCUUGGUGACCCCCACUCCCAUGAAUAGCCCUGUCCUUGGUUAGAUUGGGAAAACCAGGGUGGGAAGUAAAGGGGAGGUUGGUUUUGCUCCUGGCCAUGCAGUUGUCUCUGUGGCCUCUGAUGUUUCCAGAAUUGGGAUUGGUGUUUCCCUGCUGAUUUUCCUAUUUUUGUCCCUCAUCUGGUUCUGUUCUCCUUGCUCACCAGCCUGGGUUCUAUAGACACGACGUGGGGUAUUGUGUGUUGCCAAUGAGGCUAGCAGAACAGUUGGUGUCCCCUCAGAGAGGGGCCAACGUAUCUGGCACUUUUUUCCUUACCUUUGAAUUUCUGAGGUCUGGGAGCCAGGAGGCAGCGUGGGGCCUCUCCAUCCCGGAUCCAGCAGAGGUUAACAGAGCUGGUGGCUCUGGAGCCGAGGUGGUGUGGCUUGGCUGGGAGUUGUGGGGGAGAGGCCCUGCCAGGGGCCCUGAUUGGUCAGCACCUUCUCUAUUCCAUUGAAUCCUGGUCCGAUCAGUGCUGUGAAUUGUUUAAUGCAUAUCUUGGCACUGUCCCCUGGCUUGAGUGUCCCUGAGGUUGCAGCCACAGCUUUAAAGAGGAUCUGUACCUUGUGCUGGUCACUUUUUUGGGCAUGUUGCCUCCCUCUGAGAUAUGUAAGAGAUACCGCCCUUUCCCACCAGCCGGCUGUCUGUGGGAGGCCCUCAUUUUGCUUUGCUUUUCUGAGACUUGGAGUGACUGUGAGGGAAGCAUAGACUGAGUUUGCUUUCUUACUGGCUCCUUCCACAAGAGCUUCUCAUGGGCUGAUAAAGCCAGAGAACAUCUCCAGUGCCCCAUGGCCUAUGCAGAGCCCAGUGCCAUAGUGUCAAGCCCGUGGGGGUGGAGUGGGGACAUGGGGGCAGAUAGAGCCACGUGGGGAGGAGAUAUACGUGGUUAGCUCACAGGAGCGAGCCCAAGAGGGUGUGGGAGGACAAGUCCAGUGCUCAGCCGGGACUGCCUGUCGUGGCCCAGGAUGGAUGUGUGCAUCUCCUGUGAAGGAUCUGCAUCUGAGUGCCAGGUGCUGAAGGCAGGAUGGUGCCCUGAUCAGAGUCUGUAAUGAGGCCUGAAGGUAUGAGAUGGACAUCAGAGUUGUUGGUCCCUAACGGGAAACUGACCUUUUUUAAGGGCCCUCCUAUCCUUAUCUGAUCUCAUCCUCAGAACAAUCAUAUGACGUAGGAGUCACUUCCCUUUUAUGGUUAAAGAAACUGAUUAUUAAGUGACUUAACCCAAGGUUAUGCAUUUGGUAAGUGAGGUUGUUGAGAUUUAAAUCCAUGUACUACUUAUUCCAAAGCCUCUACUUUCUCUUUACUCUUUUGGGCUGAAGUCAGACAUUUUUUGUGAACUAAAAUCUUCAGAGGACUGAUGUGAACCAGAGUGAAAGGCAGACACCCAGAGGAACUUGCCAGUCACUGGGGAUGGUUGUGCCGCAUUUCUUUUGGGGUAGGCAGGGCAGAUGCAAAUGUCCUUUGGUAGCCAUGGACUGGCAGAGCUGAGCAAGGCCAGUACAUGGCAUCUGCUGCUGUGUACGGAGCCUCUGCUUUAUGCCAGGGACUGUGCUAGGUGAUAGAGAUGCAGAACUCAACAAAGCCAAGUUUCCACUGUCGUGGGGCAUACGUUCUAGUGUGAGGAGACACUAUUAAUAGUGAUUUUUAAAAAGAAUUCAGAAAUGUACAGGAUAGACAUAUAUGGAGAUUGGGAAUGAAAAGGGGGACUCCCCCCACACGCAUGAGGAGGAGGGUCCAGAUGAUGGUCAGAGGGAUCUAGAGAUUCGGGACUUCAGCCACCUGAAGCCACAUCAGUUAUGCUUUCCUCCAGAGAGUUAGGACUAACACAGACUAACCCUCUCUUUUUUCCUAAUAACUAGGGAAAUGUGUCCAGGGUCCCCAUAAUAGCUUACAGGAGCUUGUCGUGAGUUAGGAAUCAAGGUGGAGUACCUGUCAAACCUUUGGUCUCCAGCAGUCUGGUUUUCUCCCGUCUGCCACGGUUGCCCUUGGCCUUCUGCCUCACGCCCUCCCGCCUCAUGCCGUCCCAGGCACCAGCUGAUUUCUUUCCUCAGCCUGGUCCCUGUACCCUAUUCUUGUCCAUGCAGCACAGGGAAAUGUGCAGGUUAGGUCUUUGCCAAGCCACUGGUCAAACGUUCCUGCAGGUGGUUCUGAGCUUAGCCUGUCCUGUCAGAAUGAGCCAUUCCCAGAGCUAAUGGUCAUGCAAUAGGGAAGGGUUGGGCAGCAGGCAGAGAAGUGGCCUGUGCCGGAUGCUUGGUUGAGCUCUGUGUCUUGAGAGGUGGAGGCAGGUUGGUGGUGCUGGGACAGGGCAGGCAUGUGUCAUGUGUUCAGCGCAUGGGCUCCAGGGCUCGGGACUUGUUUACUUGGUGGAAGAGGCGGUGGCCCUGUGGAGUCAGGCCAUGUGAUUCUUCGCUCCUUGGCUGAUCGUGGACAGCUGACCCACCGGGACUGCCCACACUGCCAUCUGCUGCCAGGGGUCUGAAGUUGCACAGGAAUGAGAUAGUAUAGUUAGGGGUGCUCAGAGAGGAGGAAGGUCAGGAAAAGUGGGGUUUAUGUUGCUCUGUGUUAAGGAGUCAGUAGACCUCGAUUCUUGUCCUAGCUCACUUUCCUCCUUUGAGCUCCAGUUUCAUUAUCUAUGAAAUGAGGCAGUGGAACCAGAAUCUCUUUGGAGGUUCCAGCUAUAUCCUGGGGCCUCCCUGGAUGUUCAUGGAAAUGUUUCUUAGCCAACAAUUCAGGAUGAGGAAAACUAGGCCCAGGUUUCCACAAGAGAAGGCAGGGGAUCUUGAUGACCUAUCUCAGAGCAGCUGAAGAGGCACUGUGGGAAUUAGCAUGGGUAGGUGGGUGGAAGAAGGUAGUUUUUGAAGAAUCUCCCAGAAGUGGAAGCAGAGAGCUGGAGGUUUCACGAAGGUGUUGAUGAAGAUCCACCAGGUGGCAAGGGACAUGGCUGCGGGCUUUCCCUGGGAGGCUUGUUGGGGAUGGGGCAUGUGGGAGCUGCUGGGGCCUCUUGCCGUCCUGCAGGGAGCUAACCCAAGAGACCCUGCUCUAGAAAAGAAGCUCCGUCCCGUCUGGCUCUAACCCUGGAGAGAAUGCUGCUGUGCAGAUUGAGGAAGGGCAUCUGUUAGAGGGUCUGUGCCCCCUGCUGUCAGGAAGUUUUCCUUUAUAUUUAGCCUUUUCUUUUCACGUGUUUUUUGAGGCCCUCAACUAAAGUAUUAAAUUUUAAAAAUGACAAUGACAAAAAAAGAAAAAAAACAAAAAUAUCUCAGUCACUGGUUCCAUUUUGGCUUUUUAGUCUUGAGUCACUCUUAAAAAGAUAGCAAAAUAAAACACAUGUGGGAAAGCCCAAGGUCCCAGGCCCGGCCAGACUGGGGCUAGGAGUGGGUGGGACUCUGUCCUAGCUUCCCCAUGGCAGUGUUAGUUCCAGACGUCCACCACUGCUCCAAGGCUGUGUGGGUAGGAGCCCCUAGGGCUGAGGGGGCACACUGUGCAAUCUGCUAAGCAGAAUAUAGAGUUUUAAAAUAGCUGCAUUUCUCUAAGACACUAUCUGCUUGCCACUUUGUGGGAUGUUUACCUGGGAUUAAUAAUAGCUGAGUGCCACCCCACUGCCAGUAUGGAAUAGCAAACAGCCAUCUGGGCUGGGACUCAGGCAGGAGAGGAAUGGAGUCAUAACCAUCAUAUCACGUACUUCUUUUCACACUUGCUGGCUCAUUUGGUCCUCAUACAACCCCGAGAGGUUAGGUGGUCUUAUCCUUGUCGUUGGUGAAACUGAGCCAGAGAAUCGGUUCUGCCAAGAUCUAACUGCUUGCAGCUGUUUCUCGUGGAUCUCCCACCCAGGUCUUCUGACUUCAGCUGUCAUUUCCCUGGGUUCUGAUUAGUGGAGCAGGGAUAGGAAUAGGGGAAUGGAGUCUUCAGCAGUUUCCUUAAUUUCUGAAGGCCUUAGAGGGCCUUUCUAUAUGUUGACAGGGAAACGAAAUAUCAGCAUGUCCAGGUCUCCAACUCUUUGAUUCUUUAGACUUUUUGGAGUUCUUGUGAGAACUGGCUUGCACUUCUUGGCUGGGAAGCCAGCCACUCACCAUGUAUUCUUGGAGAGGCUUCCUGAAUUUGGAAGCUUCUGGAAUAUGUGAUGCAUCAAACCACUGUGACAUAUCUGUAUGGCACCUCACGCCUGUGCACACAGGCAUGCUUCUGCUGAGUCCAGCUCACUUAGAGAUGAGGCCCAGUGUGGGGUCUUUGAGAUUUUUCCAACACAUUUGUAAGGGAUGCCCUGAGCCUUGCCCAGCAUGCAUGUUGUGUGUAUGCUACCUGUUUGUUGACUAAUGUACAGUACCUGCUGGAAGCCUUGGCUAAUGUACAAUGUAAAGUAAGGGACUAGAAACAGUGGCUUCAGCUCUGAGAGUCUGCCUCAUGAUUGGCUUGAAAAAGCAUGGCUUACCCACAGAGAGAAAGGUGGGUAAGCCCUACUGACUCAUGGGUGUCAGUUUUCCUUAAAGGCAGAGCAUAACUCCCACUCUUUAUAAGGGCUGCUGAGGCAGAGUACUAGACAGCAGGACUUCUUGGCCAGUUAGCCCUCUGAGUGACCUUUAUUUGAAUAGACCCAGAACUCGUAUGAAGGUGGAAAUAAUGGUUUAUCUUUAUUUACAGCUAAUUUAGCCACGAUGGUUUAGGCUUUUUUGGGGGGUAUUCCUUUAGGACGAUGGAGGCUGGACAAGGGCAGUGUACAUGUGUGUGUCUGAAUGUCUGUCCUUUUGUAUUUCCUGAAUGCAUUUUUGGUUCCUAUAGAAGUGUUGGGGAAUCCACAGCAGAAUUGUUUUAGUGAGUGAAGGUUUCUGUAGCUUCAUGUGUGAAGAUUUGUCAUGUUGGACCCAGUUCAUUCAGUUCACCUGAAGGAUGGAAAAGAGAAUGGGCAUAACUUACAGCAAGGAGGGUGAUUUGGGCUGGACUUCUGGGAGAACUGUGCAUCACUUCUGCUGAGGGUUCCUGAGGAAACAUGAAGCCUCUUUAUUUGAGGUAGGAGACUAGCUGUGUGCUCCACAGGAUCCUCCCAGUCCUGAGUCCGUGGCACUUCGAGAUGGUCCCUGGAUCAGCAUGAGGUGUGGGUGCCAGGAUCUACAGCAGGCAUCUCUCUCCAUUUUUGCCUUCCGCCUUCAAGGCAAGCCCAAGCUGGGUGGAAUUGAGGAGAUGCAUGGGCAGGCUGCACCAAUAUGGUCACUGAAUCUGGAACUUUGACCUCGUUUCCCUUUGCAGAGAGAACUUCUGGUACCGAUCUUAUAGGAACUGGUAUUAUUUGCAUAUAAAAAAAGAGAAAGGCACGUUGUCCCUCAUCUUUUCCAGCAAAGAGCCCUGAGCUGCUCUAAUCCUAUAGUAGAGAGGGAAGAGGGAAGUGUAGAGGACACAGGGCCAGACAUGGUUUGCCGGGAAGAAGGUAGGAGGUGGGAGAGGAACAUCUCAGGGCAGGCCCUCAACUCUGGGAGCCACAGGCAUUGCCUGCUAUACUAAAGGCACAGGGAUGUGUUCAAUUGGGCAUACUAUUUAGAGGUAAUCCAGAGUCUGAAAUAAAUCAGUUAAUGGCUAAAUGAGAGUUGUAUUAAAUAUGGAAAAUCAUAUAUUCUUUUGUGUCAUCACCUACAGAUUUAGCAUCAAAAGGCCUGACAGGCUGAGGGCAGUGAAAUGGGUCCUGUCCAUAAGAUGAUGCUUAUUUGUAGUGACUUUUUUCUCUUUUCGUUUCUAUUUUCCACUCUUUCUUAUUGCUUAGGUCUACGUGAAUAUUUAUGCAGUUGUGUUGUUAUUUCCUUGGGGUACCAUUCUUCUAGUGUCAUUGGCAUCAAUGAAUGUGUGACUUUGAUUUCAAGUGUAAACAAACCACUGGCUCACGCAGGGAUGAGCCAUCUCUAAGACAGGGGCCCCGGCAGCUGCCUGGAGACGCACUUCCCCCAUAGACCUGGACUGUUUCUCAGCCAGAUGCCUGAGAUGAGAGUCUAGGAUGUCCUUGCAGGGACCUGCUCAACCCCACAUCAUGUGUCCUGCUGGGAGGGGUGGUGCUCACACAUGCAUCUUCCAACCUUAUUAGCUGGUACUGCUUUUCAGCUUGACCCAAGGAGUGGUGUUGGAAGUGUGAGACUGUUCAUCCCCUGCUAGGUAAGAAGGGUGUCAGAGAGGAGAGGCGUCGACAGAGAAGAAGGGAACACAGGCUUCUGCCUGCUAGCCUGUCUCCAAGACAGGUUAACUUUGUGUUAAGAAGCAAACUCUUUUAAUCUUUUGGCCCUAAUAGAAGUUAUUUGUAUUUUCUCUCCUUCUCUCUUUUCCCUCCUCUCUCUCACUCCCUCUCCCUCAACUCCCCAGCCUCCAAAGAAUUUAAUCUGCUGGACAACAAACAAUACUGUUAUAAAACUUUGAAAACAAGAGGGCGCGGCCUCCCUGACAAGGAGAAGGGCAUGCCGGGUAAUGGCCUGAGGGAGCAUGCCAGGCCUGAGAUGGAGCCGGGCGAGAGCCCAGUUGGCUGGGUACCUGGGUGCCUGCCCCUGCAUAGCCCACUAGCCGCGCCAUCCCCAGGCCAGAGGGGAAGGAACUGAAACAAAAGCGAGGGCAGAGAAGAGCUUGAAAGGGGAAGUUGUACGUGUUCCCUUCUCUGUGAUCUGAUGGGAAUGCAGUAGACUGUGAAACUUCCUCCUCCACCUCUUCUCCCUCGCCCCUCCCAUCCUCCCACCCUCCUUUCUCCUCCCUCCUCUCUCCUCCUUCCUCCCUCGUUUGUCCUCCCUCCUCCUCCUCCCUUCUCUUGCCACUCACUGUUCUUGAGCCCAGCAGACAGAGGUGCUGAUAACAGAAUGAGGCUGGAAUAGCACUGUAGGUGCAGCUACCAGCUGGGCCAAUCAAAGUGGAAGGAGAGAAAGUGGGCUCACAGUUGGCUUUGGACUCAGACCAACCCUCUGUCCGGCCCAGCCUCCCUCCCUUCUGUUAGGGAAUUGGAACCACAUCACAUCACAGAGUGUGCCCAGUCGAUGUGUGUGGACCAGGUGAGUGCCCAGGUACUGGGGAGAACUGCCACUUGGAGGUUAGUUCAGGAAGCACCCUGGGCUUCCUGGUGCCCACCUUGGACUGUGCUCUGUGGAGGGUGUUUGAUGUGUUGAAAUGCUCUGUCCUUUGAGAUGCUGUGCUCUCCCUCCAGGGAGGAGCAGAGGCUGUGCUGCAGAGGCUGGGGCAUGCCUCUGGAAGAGCUCUUGGGAACAGGAACAUGCUUCUCCCAGCGAGAGCAGGCAUGCCGUCUUGUGAGUGUGGUGCCUGGUAGGAUACUGCAUCUGUUAGUUACUUCUCUGUAGCUGAAGGAGGAGGUCAUCCAGCUCUGCCUGGGGGAGGUGGGGAAGCUGGGCUUUGGGGCAUCUCACCAUAGUUUCAGUUUCACCUGAAACUAUGCACUUUUUAGUCCAUUUCCACUGGGUCAAGCAGAUGAUUUAGGAAUGACCAGGGAGCAGUGUUGGUGGUUUGCCUUUGGAUCUGCAUUGGUUUGGUCUGGUGGGCAUUGUGUUUGUGUAAUAGACCAUUGGCAUAAUUUUUCCUCUUGCAGAAAGCACUAGCUUCCUUGAAAGCAGUUCAGCCAUGCCCAUCUUCCUCUGCCAGAGCUAAGCCCUUCUACUGGGGGAACAUGGAGACACCCGGGCUCCAGUCUUCAUUCCAUUCCUCUUCCUUCCCUUUGCCUUCCACUAUCUCCUCCUGUCCCCCUAGCUCAUCCCAGGGGCAGGGUAGCCUUGGUGCAACCUUCCAUCCAGCCAGCAGUCCCAACCCAGGACCCCUGUGCUGGGACUGAGGCUGGGUUUUUUGUCAGUAGUGUUAAGGAAGGGACAGAAAACUGAACUUUUAGGAGUGUGGCUGCCUAGGAACCUAGAUCUCCAUACCUCUGACCCAGGGGAAGCCAGAAGAACUGAUGCUGGGUCCACGUAGGCUUAGAAGCCUGUUACUUAUUGCCUUGUUACGUGAGCAGCAAUUUGAGGGGCACUGUGGGUUUGGAGGAUGUGAUUCCCACACUGGGACUCAGGGCCUGGGAAAUGCAGUGGUCCCUGGGUUCUGAGUCCUCCUUGGAAGGCCAACCUGCCAGGAAGGAAGAGCCUGAUGGAGGUUUCUGGGGACUUUGGGCCAGCUAGUAACUCCAUGCUCCCUCCCCUCCACCCUUGGCCCCUCAUGCAUAUACCCUUCCUUUUAUCACCCUUCUCUCUGAUUCAUUAACCACAGUCCCUGUCCUGAUAGCUAAAGACACAAUGUCCAGGCUGCUGCCUAGAAUGACAGGAAGCUGGGCUGGCCUUUCAAUUUAUACAUGCAAUGGCCUGGGACUGUCUGGAGGGCAAGACAUUCUCCUUUUUCAAAAGAGCCUUCCCCAGACCCCUCUCUCACCAAGAUGAGCUCUUCCUCACUGCCAGGAUCCCUGAAAUCAGCAUUCCCAGAGGGAAGAAGAUGGCCAUCUGGGCUUGGCUUCCGGCUCCCCCCAUCUGGCUGGAACACACAUCAGUCACGUAAGUAGCUGUGACUCAGCACCCAGCGCUGCCUUGGCAGAACUUCCCACUUUCUGGAUUUGCACACACUGGUAGCACAGCACAAGCCAGCAGGGUUAGGCAUCUGGGGGCCAGGGUCUGUCUGUUCAGUGGCUUUGCUUACGGAUUUCAUAAACAAGGAUUCCCUCACCUUCCCAUUUUCCUCCCAUGUUAUUUUUUAGGUAUCAUGCUAGGCUUUAAAGACAAAGCGUCAUUUAUAGAAUGAAGUAGAAGCUAUCUUUGCAAUCUCCAAACUGUUUUAACCAACAGCUAUAGAUUACAUUUAACCCUUUGAUGUGUUUGGCCUGCACUAGUUUUUGUUUUUGUUUUGAGACAGGUUUGUACUCUGUAGCCCAGGCUGGAGUGCAGUGGCACGGUAUCAGCCAACCUCUGCUUCCCGGGCUCAAGCAAUUCACAUACCUCAGCCUCCUGAGUAGCUGGGACUACAGGUGCCUGACACCAUGCCUGCUAGAGUAAUUUUAAUGUAUCUGAUUUUACAUGCGUUUACACAAAAUAUGGCCUCUCUAGGACACUGUAUUUCUGCUGCAUGCUGUUGCCGCUUUUGUGUCUCAGGUUUCCUGCCCGAGCCCUCUGAGCAUUUGAAUGACUGUGAGCAGUCUACUUCAGCCUCCUCUCCUUACACAUGAAGACACUGAGGCCCAUUCAGGGCAAGUGGCAGGUCCCUGUUCUCAGAAUUAGGGCCGAGCAGGUAUUAAAACCUGUGUGUUCUCAUUCACUGUGUGCUCAGGGAGAUGAAAACACCCUGGCGUGAGAGGAAGCUUCCAGGUAGAGUGUGGGCACAGAAAUGGACCAGGAUGGAGUAUACCUCCCACACCUUUUCCCUGAAUGGCAGCACUCACAAGACUGACAUGCCCACCCUUCCGAGUGGGCGGUUUUUCUCCCCAGGCAGCCCUGCCAACCCUUUCACUUUCGGCCAGUUUGCUUAGAGUCCUUAGGCUGAGGCAGAUAAAACCCAUCACCCUACUUGGAUGGCAGAGCCCUUAGCAGGCUGGGGUUUUCAUGGGCUGCCUUCUUACAGGUCUAGGUGGCCUUCUGGCAUGGUGCCAGGGAGAGCAAGCCUCUUCCAGCCCUUAUCAAACUAACCGGCUGCUUCCUAGUAGGGAACAGCCACCAGCUUGUUUCAGAGAAGAAUCAUUGCUCAGCUGACUCAGAGGAGAAAACUGGUUCUGUUGGGAAGGCUUAGACCUUUAUCCAGUGGAAUUGGAAAGGCAAAGGAUUUCAGUACUAACAUGACUUUUUCUCCACUUCUUCUUUUGGAGGGUUUAAUUAAAGUCAUGCAUUGUUAAUGGCUUCUCAUCUCUUCUUCCAGAGAGUUAAGAAUUAAAGUUUAGAAUCCAGGAGUGGGGACCCAGAUUCUGGCUUCUGUUAGCUCCCUCAGUGGCAGUGGCCCCCUGAUAUGUGCAGCCCCUCUGCUUGACUCCAGAUGGUCCCUUAUGGGUUGCAGGAGAGACAUUAACUAACCACACUGACGACCAAGUGAGGUAAGUGGCGUCAAGAACUUGAGGCUGGCGAGGACGACUUAACCUUCUAGCAAGCUGGGCUAGACUUGGGGAAGCUUUCCGGAGCUGAAGGGAGGUUGACUGGGGUUCCCUGGAGUGGCGGUGGGUAGAGGCGGGGCCGAGGGGUGGUAGCUAUGGGAGGGUGAGAGAGAGUAUUCCAGAAGAGAUAACAGCUUAAGCAAGGCCUCUCUAUUGUGGAAGGUGGUUUCCGGAUCACCGCAGGACACCUGUGUGAGGGCUCAUAGGGAGGGGUUUGUGGAUACUGGCAAUUAGAAGUUGAUAAGGAAAAGUGUGGCCGAAAUGAAAAGCAGAAAAGAAUCUCAUCGAAUCCCCUCAAUUUACAGGAUUUGGACUCCUAGUAAUGACUGCCCUUAAACACUCACUCCUGACCUUACAGCCCUCGCUGUUUCCUGGUUAACAGGGCCCAGGUGUUGGCUACACGUGUCAUCACCGAGAGCCCUUGUGUGCAGAUCUGCCCCCAGCUCUGCCACCUGUGACUGAGGCUGGUCAGUCCCACGGUGGGCCGCAGAGCCUAGCACUGGUGUCAGAGUCGCUUGUUGCAGGUUCAUCUUCAGCGUCUUUCCCACGCCACAGCCAUGCUGGAGAAAAACGGCAGAGGCGCCAGAGGAGAACAAAGCAAGCUGCCCCAGACCACCUGGCCUUCGCAGAGCCCAGAUCACGCUCCUCUCUCUGCCCAAGUAUAACGUGUUGUCUAGUCAGUAUGAUCCCCCUUCAGUGCAGAAGUAUUGCCUGGGAAUUCCCUGCCCCACCCAGCCUGUUUGGUUCUUAAUGAAGUUCAAGAACAAAAUGAGACGAUACUCAAGUUAUGGAGCAGGCUGCAGUGGGUGCAGGCGCAGGGUCGCAGUCUUUGGAGUUAGAUCUGAGGUCUGCCUUUAUUGGUUGUGUGUCUGCAGACAAGUUAUUUAGCCUCAUUAAGGAUAAGUUUCUUCUGCAAAAAUUGGAAUAAUUCCUGCUCCAUACGACUGCUGUGAGAACGAAAUACCACAACUUUUGAUGUUCAAAUUCUAUUUUUUACUUCUCCUUCUAGUGACACAUACUGUUACUGCCAGGAACCAUAAAAAUUAUAAGCCUGUAUCUAGAGGCCUGAAGAAUUGGUUGGGAACCUAAAAGAUAGUUUCUGUUCUGUCUCUUUUCUCUUGGUUAUGGUAUCAGAGGAAAUACACAUAUUUUUCUUAGCUUCAAACAACCGAAAAAGAUGAUGCAGUAAGGAGAUGGGAAAUCUAAUUUGGAAUAUGGUGCGCAAAUCUUAUUUUCAAGCAGAUUUUGAAAAUAAAAUGCAAUUCUUUUAUGUUAGAGGAUUGUCUCCUUGAUAAAAUUAUGGGGUACCAGUUUUUAAAGUCACAUCAGAGUUUAAAUAAGAUUGCAAAUUGACGGGGUCAUAUUUGAAUGUUCUGAUAGUUACAUAUGGGGUGGGAAGGAGGAAUGCAUGCUCUUCUCAAAUAAGACGCAUGGAAGAGUUGCCCUAGCCAGGUGAGGCUCACCUUUGUGUAGGCUAGAGCUUCAUUCCAUCCACACGCAGAUAGGGUGCUUGUGACCUGAUGAAGUAAGGUAAUAUACCUGGAAACACUUAGUAUACUGUGAAAUACUGUGCAAAUGCAAGGUAGUUCGAAUGUAAAUAUUAAUGCAUUUUCAUAAUAAUUUUGCCAUUUCAUCAUAUAUAUAAUUUGUAGUGACUGGCUGUGAAUUUAAAUAGAAUUAACCUAGAAUUAAUGAGCUUUAUAUUACUCUCAUCUAUUUGAAGCAUCAGCUGUGACGUUCAUGUUACUUUGCACAGCCCUGUGUAACCUCCUCUAUGCCUUUCCCAAGGAGCACUGUGUCAUAUCACAAGUAGAACUGGAAGAAGACAUUUCUCCUCAGGGCAGAGGCUGGGUCUUCUGAUUGAAUCUCUCUUCUUUCUUCAGUGAGAUCCUCUUCUUCUGGAAGCUGGUUUCACAUGGUGGCUUAGAUUUUUCCAUCUUUGUAUCUAGCACCAUUUGAAAUCAGUGUUUUAGGAGUAAGAAUUGCAGCACAGCCAAGGGUGGACUGCAGAGGAACUGCUGCUCAUGGGACUGGCUCCUCCUCUCCUGCCACUUGAGUCUGUUCAAGAAGUCCAGGGAAGAACUUGAAGAGCAAAAUAUACUCUUGAGUUUGUUGGGUUUUGGGAGGGGCGACAGUAGGGGAGGGGGUUGUGUUUAAAAUAAACACAGUGGUUUGCUCAGGGGCAGAGGUUGUGAUGCUAUUUAUUUUGACUCCUAGCAGCUGUCACCAGCACGAAUGUGUUGGUAGGGCCUUUGGGUGUGUUGAUUGUCAUAUUCCGUUGGGUAACAAUGUAUCGAGUAUUGUCAUGGGGCAAAGGAGAGGGCGGUACACCUGGAGGACCAUUUCGUCCACAUCGGCACUGUCAGCCCACUCAUAGAGGAUGCCCUGGAGUAUUCAGCAUCCAUUGCAGGGCACCCGAAAUCAGACUUGCCACCUGUACUGUCGAGGUGCAGACCCUGGGAGCACCACUGGCCCAUCUCUUACACAGGCUGACCGAUUUCUCCUGGUGUUCAGAGUCUGUUUUUGUCUAGCACCAUUUGAAAUCGGUUAUGAUGUAGGGGGAAAAGCAGCAGCCUCGAAGCCUCAUGCCAAGUCUGGCCAGCAGCAGCCUGUGGUUUCCUGGAAGAUGGAUGGGCAGAGAAUGGGGAAGGAAGAUCACGCUUUUCCCUACUAAUUUCUUUAACUGCAUGUAUGAUACAUUAUUGCAGAGGUAAGAGAUAGUUUAAUGGAUUUUUAAAAACAAAUUACUGUAAUUUAUCUGAUGUUCUCAGUUGCAUUUUGCCGAAAUGUAGUACUGCUAUAAAUUCUAUAAAUUGGUUGCUGUUAAAUUACCUUUCUAUUGAGAAGUCUGUUCAUGCAUCCUGACCUUAAUAAAUACUAUGUUCAGUUUAUCA
Sapajus apella (tufted capuchin) is the source of this 21764-nucleotide long non-coding RNA. RefSeq lists it as uncharacterized. NCBI's taxonomy places the organism in Eukaryota, Metazoa, Chordata, Mammalia, Primates, Cebidae. The transcript is spliced from 2 exons. The record is from RefSeq and is a predicted model, not a curated record.